This is a non-coding RNA of Cyanistes caeruleus (blue tit), 870 nucleotides long. The record is from RefSeq and is a predicted model, not a curated record. NCBI's taxonomy places the organism in Eukaryota, Metazoa, Chordata, Aves, Passeriformes, Paridae.
GGUCCUCAUCUCCUUGGCAUGGCUGGGACAAGAGCUUUUGGGAGAUGGCAGCGGGCACAGGAGCAUCCCGCUCUGGGCAGCUGCUGAGGGGCUGGAUCUGCCGUGGCUGGCUGCAGGCUGGGCACAUGUCCUGCCCUCCUGCUCUGCUCCCCAAGGCAGCAGUGAUGGGCAGCUUUGGGCCCAGCUCUGAGCACGGCCAGCAUGGCCUGGGCACCGCGGCUGGCUGGGACAAGGGGACAGGAGCCUUCAGCUGACGGGCGGUUUCUGCUUUCUCUCCUUGCAGCCGGGCUCUGCGGAUGCUGAGGCUGCUCUGGGCUCUGCCAGGGCUCUGCUGGGCUCAGCACCGGGCCGGGAUCAGCCAAAGAAGAAACGCUGUGACCUGCAGCAGAGACUUGAGCAUUUUGGCAAUGCAGCUCAAGUCUGCAGAGUGUCCACCUCCAAGGGAAAACAUGACACCCCCCAAAAAUUAAACUUGUUCCAUAACUUCUGAAAUGAAAUCCAUCUGGGAUGACCCCAAAUGACAUUUUUCAGCUUGCUCAAGCUGUAGCUCAGCCCUUCUCUGAACAGUUCUGUCCCCACACCUGCCUUUUACUUCACAACUGCUCCCUCCUUUCCCCCAGUGAGUUCCCAGCCCAUCACAGUCUCCAUCACACUGCAGCCUUCCUUGAUGCCCCUCACCACGAGGAAGGCCAAGCCCCAGUCUCAGGGACUCAUCCUGUCACUGGCUGAAGAGCAGCAAUGUCUGUCUGUGCCAGGGGCUCUUGGAUGUCUCUGUAUCCAUGGACAGAAGGGUCUGUCCUUGCAAAGGUUUCCAUAAUAUCUUUGUACCCAUGAGUAUGGAAUGAACACAGAGAGUGAAAGUGUCAGUCA